AAGCAGUUAUUAAGCAGUUGAAGAUGAUCAUUUUUUACCCGUAUUUCACUUACGCUGUUACACACGCUUUUUGUAAAAGUUUAAUAAAGCCAAAGUGUCCAUGUGAUGAUUGACUUUAGUGUUGGAACGAUUAACUGAUUUUAAUAAAUUUCUAAUUGGAAAGUAAAGUUUCUUACGUACGAUUCCUCAUAAUUUUACCAUGUUCCGUCCAAGUGAUGCCGGUGGAGAUGGUGAAGAUGAACAAUCGAUAAGUAACAGAAUUAAGAGUCACGUUGCGGCAUUUGUUAUGCUGGUCGUGCUCUUCCGAACAGCCAAGGUAGUCGUUGAUCGUGCCGGGUACGGUUUUCCCAGCUAAUUACAAUCCCCCCCCCCCCACGCCAUCAACUACAAAAAAUGCCAGCAGAAGAACUGAAUCGUACGCCAACUCUACAUGCAGAACAAUAUUUAUAUACUUACUUACUAAAUAUUUAAAUAAAUAAAUGCAUCAUAACCACCACCCAGAUUUUUACAUUGUUCAAUAAAAUAUCAUUUUUAUUGUAAAUUGAUAAAUGUGUAAAUUGUAGGAGCACAAGAUUGAAAUAAAACAUGAUCCUUCUUAUACUUUA
Folsomia candida is the source of this 605-nucleotide long non-coding RNA. RefSeq lists it as uncharacterized. The record is from RefSeq and is a predicted model, not a curated record. Lineage: Eukaryota; Metazoa; Arthropoda; Collembola; Entomobryomorpha; Isotomidae. The transcript has 4 exons.